GCAAAGGCUACCCUGUGGGAAGGAUAUGAUAAACUCUUGUUGUUGUGUCAUUAGUCUGAGUGGUAAACACAUGAAACAAGUUAAAACUUUCAACAACGGAUCUCUUGGUUCUCGCAUCGAUGAAGAACGCAGCGAAAUGCGAUAAGUAGUGUGAAUUGCAGAAUUCAGUGAAUCAUCGAAUCUUUGAACGCACAUUGCGCCUUCUGGUAUUCCGGGAGGCAUGCCUGUUCGAGCGUCAUCAAACACAUCCUCAAGCACUUUUGCUUGGUAUUGGUGGCAGAUGUCCGCAUCUCCUCUUAAAUUCCUCAGCGGAAACUACUGCGGUCUCAGGUGUCAUAAGAUUACCUUUCGCUUGAUAACUGCCGGUAGGUUCUUGCUGUGAAGAGCCCCCCAGCUAUUCUUUUACGUUUGACCUCGAAUCAGGUAGGGAUACCCGCUGAACUUAAGCAUAUCAAUAAGCGGAG
This 464-nucleotide ribosomal RNA is filed under the name uncultured fungus. RNAcentral describes it as "eukaryotic LSU rRNA". The stretch from base 85 to 238 matches the Rfam family "5.8S ribosomal RNA". The record is from RNAcentral. Lineage: Eukaryota; Fungi.